This 478-nucleotide ribosomal RNA is filed under the name uncultured bacterium. RNAcentral's name for it is "bacterial SSU rRNA". It matches the Rfam family "Bacterial small subunit ribosomal RNA", at positions 501 to 981 of the family's 1533-position model. The record is from RNAcentral.
CUACGUGCCAGCAGCCGCGGUAAUACGUAGGGGGCAAGCAUUAUCCGGAUUCAUUGGGCGUAAAGCGCUCGUAGGCGGUCUGUUAGGUCGGGAGUUAAAUCCGGGGGCUCAACCCCCGCUCGCUCCCGAUACCGGCAGACUUGAGUUUGGUAGGGGAAGGUGGAAUUCCUAGUGUAGCGGUGGAAUGCGCAGAUAUUAGGAAGAACACCAGUGGCGAAGGCGGCCUUCUGGGCCAUAACUGACGCUGAGGAGCGAAAGCUAGGGGAGCAAACAGGAUUAGAUACCCUGGUAGUCCUAGCCGUAAACGAUGGACACUAGGUGUGGGGGAAUAUUUCUUCCGUGCCGCAGCUAACGCAUUAAGUGUCCCGCCUGGGGAGUACGGCCGCAAGGCUAAAACUCAAAGGAAUUGACGGGGGCCCGCACAAGCAGCGGAGCAUGUGGUUUAAUUCGAAGCAACGCGAAGAACCUUACCAGGGCU